Molecule: transfer RNA, 57 nt
Filed under: Bos taurus (domestic cattle)
Lineage: Eukaryota; Metazoa; Chordata; Mammalia; Artiodactyla; Bovidae
Also listed under: 2 other names
Rfam family: tRNA
About the family: Transfer RNA (tRNA) molecules are approximately 80 nucleotides in length. Their secondary structure includes four short double-helical elements and three loops (D, anti-codon, and T loops). Further hydrogen bonds mediate the characteristic L-shaped molecular structure. tRNAs have two regions of fundamental functional importance: the anti-codon, which is responsible for specific mRNA codon recognition, and the 3' end, to which the tRNAs corresponding amino acid is attached (by aminoacyl-tRNA synthetases). tRNAs cope with the degeneracy of the genetic code in two manners: having more than one tRNA (with a specific anti-codon) for a particular amino acid; and 'wobble' base-pairing, i.e. permitting non-standard base-pairing at the 3rd anti-codon position.
Source: Rfam by way of RNAcentral
UAGUUCAGUUGGUAAAAAAUCUGCCUGCAACGCAGGAGACCUAGGUUCAGUUCCUAG